RNAcentral lists this ribosomal RNA (580 nucleotides) under uncultured Sphingobacteriia bacterium. Its description in RNAcentral is "bacterial SSU rRNA". It matches the Rfam family "Bacterial small subunit ribosomal RNA", at positions 335 to 915 of the family's 1533-position model. The record is from RNAcentral. Lineage: Bacteria; Pseudomonadati; Bacteroidota; Sphingobacteriia.
ACUCCUACGGGAGGCAGCAGUGAGGAAUAUUGGUCAAUGGACGCAAGUCUGAACCAGCCAUGCCGCGUGAAGGAUGAAGGCCUUCUGGGUUGUAAACUUCUUUUAUCUGGGAAGAAAAAUAUGGUAUCUACUAUAUCCGACGGUACCAGAGGAAUAAGCACCGGCUAACUCCGUGCCAGCAGCCGCGGUAAUACGGAGGGUGCAAGCGUUAUCCGGAUUUACUGGGUUUAAAGGGUGUGUAGGCGGGUCUUUAAGUCAGUGGUGAAAUCUCCGGGCUCAACCUGGAAACUGCCAUUGAUACUAUUGAUCUUGAAUUCUGUUGAGGUUGGCGGAAUAAGUCAUGUAGCGGUGAAAUGCAUAGAUAUGACUUAGAACACCGAUUGCGAAGGCAGCUAACUAAGCAGAUAUUGACGCUGAGGCACGAAAGCGUGGGGAUCAAACAGGAUUAGAUACCCUGGUAGUCCACGCCCUAAACGAUGAUUACUCGACAUACGCGAUACACAGUGUGUGUCUGAGCGAAAGCAUUAAGUAAUCCACCUGGGAAGUACGACCGCAAGGUUGAAACUUAAAGGAAUUGACG